This 442-nucleotide ribosomal RNA is filed under the name uncultured bacterium. RNAcentral describes it as "partial 16S ribosomal RNA". It matches the Rfam family "Bacterial small subunit ribosomal RNA", at positions 338 to 795 of the family's 1533-position model. The record is from RNAcentral.
CCUACGGGAGGCAGCAGUGGGGAAUAUUGGGCAAUGGGCGCAAGCCUGACCCAGCAACGCCGCGUGAAGGAAGAAGGCUUUCGGGUUGUAAACUUCUUUUGUCAGGGAAGAGUAGAAGACGGUACCUGACGAAUAAGCCACGGCUGACUACGUGCCAGCAGCCGCGGUAAUACGUAGGUGGCAAGCGUUGUCCGGAUUUACUGGGUGUAAAGGGCGUGUAGCCGGGUUGACAAGUCAGAUGUGAAAUCCUGCGGCUUAACCGCAGAACUGCAUUUGAAACUGUUGAUCUUGAGUACUGGAGAGGCAGACGGAAUUCCUAGUGUAGCGGUGAAAUGCAUAGAUAUUAGGAGGAACACCAGUGGCGAAGGCGGUCUGCUGGACAGCAACUGACGGUGAGGCGCGAAAGCGUGGGGAGCAAACAGGAUUAGAUACCCCAGUAGUC